ACGGAGGGUGCAAGCGUUAUCCGGAUUCACUGGGUUUAAAGGGUGCGUAGGAGGGCAGGUAAGUCAGUGGUGAAAUCUUUGGGCUUAACCCGAAAACUGCCAUUGAUACUAUCUGUCUUGAAUGCGGUGGAGGUGAGCGGAAUAUGUCAUGUAGCGGUGAAAUGCUUAGAUAUGACAUAGAACACCGAUUGCGAAGGCAGCUCGCUACACCUGCAUUGACUCUGAGGCACGAAAGCGUGGGGAUCAAACAGGA
This 253-nucleotide ribosomal RNA is filed under the name uncultured prokaryote. RNAcentral's name for it is "partial 16S ribosomal RNA". It matches the Rfam family "Bacterial small subunit ribosomal RNA", at positions 525 to 777 of the family's 1533-position model. The record is from RNAcentral.